CUUUCAGCUUGCAUACAGACUGCUGCCACGCCGGCUGGCUAGGUCGUUCUGUUCUCCAGGAUCCCAACCCGCUGCCAUUGAGCUGCUCAGAAGAGCCUUCCACCCAGCUUGGAGACUCACACAGACCUCCUACGGUUUUACCACCAUAUGCUCGGGACCAGCUCGGACUGCAGCCUACCCGCGCCCAGAUGCCUCCUCGGCUUUCAGCAGGCUGCCACCGACCACUGCCAAACACCACAGAUUAACUGAACACCUGUGCCACUUGCUGGUCAAAGAUAGUUACUGCAUCUGCAGUGGAAAUCAGGCUUAAAGAUCAUUGGGAUGCCUCAGAAGCAGAAUCACUCCAAUCCAAGGAGCCUACUCCACACAGGUAUCAUGACUAUUCUUCUAAGGUUGUUACUCGUACACCAUUAGUGUACCCAGCUACCACGGUAGAAAAGCCAGCUUCUAAGAAAAAC
Molecule: long non-coding RNA, 458 nt
Filed under: Cricetulus griseus (Chinese hamster)
Lineage: Eukaryota; Metazoa; Chordata; Mammalia; Rodentia; Cricetidae
Description: lncRNA (ENSCGRG00015033385.1)
Source: RNAcentral